This 321-nucleotide long non-coding RNA is filed under the name Androctonus crassicauda. Lineage: Eukaryota; Metazoa; Arthropoda; Arachnida; Scorpiones; Buthidae. The record is from RNAcentral.
AACAAAAUAACAUAUGAAACCCAAGUAAUGGUAAUUAGAAAUAUACCUUACGAUCUCAUUCUUGGAUGGAAAAGCUUAGGAAACUCAAGAUUAUUAAGUAUCUAGAAGCUGAUGAACUAUAUGUCUCAGAUGGUCUGGGAAUAAAUUUGCAUUCUUGUUUUAUUGCUGAUCAAGAGAACAUUUGGUCCUUGGAUCACCUAAAAACUAUUUUUCCAGGAAUUUUAAAGCAGCAUAUGUCUAGGACUCCCAUAUAUACUGUUGAUUUUAAAUUAAAAGAUCAUCAUAAGUUAGUACAGAAACGACCAUAUAAUCUAUCUGCAC